UCAUCUGAAAGGCAAAGAAAAAUCAUCUCUCAAUCUCAUCUCAUUUUUCCCUUGUCUCUAAAUCAUAUCUUCAUCACUCAAAAAUUGAUUUUUCUCUCGAUCUUCAUCUCUCAAAGCUUCGCGAUGGGGAAUCUUGACGGUUUCUUGGUAGGCUUUGAAAGUAUCAAUCAUAGUAGGGAAGCUAGAUCUUCCAUCCACAUCAUUGGAAUCAAACUCUAACACAAAGAUAAAAGUAGUAAAGAUUGGAAGUUCAUACACUAGAGCAUCAAGAAAAGGAAGAUAACAUGAAACACUAGCACCUAUAAAUAUUGAAAAAUGACAGAGUUACAAUUCAUAAGGAUAUAUAUUGGUGUUAUACAAUUGGAGAUUAUUCAUUAUUUUUGACUUCAAAGACCUAAAAUUGAAGUCCUCUUUCCUUUGCAACUAGAUCUCCUAACGUUGGCAACUGAUCCAAACUUUAACGGAAAGAAUCUAAUAAAAAAGGUAAGCAAACAUAGUUUAAAUUCUUUAUUGUUUACAUGAAUCUAUUUUUAUCAAACAUGUCUUAGGGUUUAUAUUUUCAUUUUACAAUUUAUAUAUUUUUCCCUUCAAUAAAUCAUGUUUUAAUUAAAACAUAUUUGUUUUUAGAAUUUAAACAUUAGCAACGAAUAUCUCUUUCAGUUAGGCAUGUCAAUGGGCCGGGGGUGAGGAUGAGCUUUACAUUCCUCGUCCCCAUACCUGAUUCUCAUAUUACCCGUUAACCUACUCAUACCCAAUUAUAAGCGAGGAGGUCUAGGUGGUGAGUUCGCAGUAAUACUUAUUCCGAUUAUACGAACCUGAGUAGAGGAUGAGGGAUUGUUGAUGUUACUACUCGUCAUGUUCUGCAUUCCAGAUGUUAAUCUUGGAGCAUUGGUCAUGCCAACGUUUACCUUCAGCCACUUGUCUAGCUGCAUCGAGGCAUAUGGUUUGUGCACUUCCAAAACUAUAGGCUGCCAAAUAGAGCUCUUCAGAUGCAUUGUUUGCAAAGGACACAACCAUUAACUUAACUGAAUAUGAAGCCACCAAAGAGGGAAUCACACUCCCCCUAAUCAUUCAUCCUUAAUUUCAUGAUAAGUAAACUAUCAACCCUCUCCCGCACUUGCCGAUUUCGACAAUGGUAGCAAUAUCCUAGAAAUCGAAAGAAUGUUGGACCUUCGAUGAACGGUUACAAUUCUCCCAAUGGGUUUACAAAGAGUGGUUUUAUCCACCACUCCAUUUCCAUUGAGGAUGCAUAUUAACCUCCCUCGUCGACGAGCAUAAUCAAAGAGAACAAUUGACACGUCAACUUCAGUAGUGAUAUCAAGCACAUGAGAACAUAGUCCAAAUGGGUUUCCAUGUGUUAUUAUGACAUCUUGUUUGGCUUACUCUUAGAGCCAAGUGGAUGCCCUGAAGGCGAUGAAUGAUAACAUAGGUUGUAAAUGAUGGUUUUUGUUUGUGGUGGUAUCAAUGUAUUUUGUUCAGAGUUAACGUUUGGAAUUUCCUAGCUUUUAUGCUCAUAGAAAUAACAUAUAACAUCUUCCUCUUUCCACCAAUUUUCUGCUCAAUAUUUCACUCCCAUGGCAAAAGGUUGAAAUUCACUAAGUUAAUUGCAAAGAUAACUCCAAAGUAUUUAUAUAAACCUUUAGCUAGCAAGUAAGAGAUAGCAUACAUAAUAUAAAGAUAAUUUCAAAAUAUUUAUAACCAUAACCAUUGUGGGAACAUAUGUACCAUAAUUCAAAAUAUUUAUAACCAUAUAUGUGAUGGUAACAUACAUUGCAUACCAAAAAGCUAUCUAGUACUUGUAACCAUAAUCAAACCAAAAAGGUCCACCAAAAAACAGAUGGCAACAUAAGUUUUAUAUAAAAAUAAAAAUAAAAAGCAUGGUGAAUAAACAAGCAUCUAAAUCUCCCUUCCAAACUUGUAUACCAAGCCAAUGUUAAUAGUAAAACAUAAUGUCCUUGACAUUUUCCACGAUGGAGGGAAGUGUCGACACAAAGUUGGUGGUAAAAUGUUGAUCCUUAUUAUGUUUCAUAUGAAACAUAAUUUAACAAAAAUGUUGAUCCUUGUAUGCAGUUUCUCCUGCUUAUUAUGCACACUUGUUAGCAUUUUGAGGUCACUACUACCUUAAUGAAGUUGACACUUCUGAUUCCGGUUCUGCAAAUGGUAACAUAAGUAACAUACAAGGAUCUCUAUAAUAAGUGUUCAUAAUAAAAAGUAUUCUUAUU
Molecule: long non-coding RNA, 2222 nt
Organism: Medicago truncatula (barrel medic)
Lineage: Eukaryota; Viridiplantae; Streptophyta; Magnoliopsida; Fabales; Fabaceae
Exons: 4
Source: RefSeq, a predicted model, not a curated record